RNAcentral lists this ribosomal RNA (465 nucleotides) under uncultured bacterium. RNAcentral describes it as "bacterial SSU rRNA". The stretch from base 1 to 324 matches the Rfam family "Bacterial small subunit ribosomal RNA", at positions 497 to 873 of the family's 1533-position model. The record is from RNAcentral.
CUAACUCCGUGCCAGCAGCCGCGGUAAUACGAGGGUGCGAGCGUUAAUCGGAAUUACUGGGCGUAAAGCGCAUGCAGGCGGCCUCGUUAAGUCAGAUGUGAAAGACCCGGGGCGUUAACCUCGGAAUUGCAUUUGAAACUGGCAGGCUAGAGUCUUGUAGAGGGGGGGUAGAAGUUUCAGGUGUAGCGGUGAAAUGCGUAGAGAUCUGAAGGAAUACCAGUGGCGAAGGCGGCCCCCUGGACCAAAGAACUGACGCUCAGAUGCGAAAGCGUGGGGAGCAAACAGGAUUAGAUACCCUGGUAGCGUCGUCUAUCAGUCGACUCCUACGGGAGGCAGCAGUGCAUGACGGGGUUGGGCCGGAAAGGAAAACUCAAGCAGGCGCUGUGCAUGGCGAGGAGGGAAGGCUCGGCCGCAGGAGAGGCGCGCGAGCCUGGCGUCUGUGGCGGAGAUUAGAUACCCUGGUAG